CCUACGGGUGGCAGCAGUGGGGAAUAUUGGGCAAUGGGCGCAAGCCUGACCCAGCAACGCCGCGUGAAGGAAGAAGGCUUUCGGGUUGGAAACUUCUUUUCUCAGGGACGAAGCAAGUGGCAGUACCUGAGGGAUAAGCGACGGCGAACUACGUGCCAGCAGCCGCGGUAAUACGUAGGUGGCAAGCGUUAUCCGGAUUUACUGGGUGUAAAGGGCGUGUAGGCGGGACUGCAAGUCAGAUGUGAAAACCAUGGGCUUAAACUAUGGCCUGCAUUUGAAACUGUAGUUCUUGAGUACUGGAGAGGCAGACGGAAUGCGUAGUGUAGCGGUGAAAUGCGUAGAUAUUAGGAGGAACACCAGUGGCGAAGGCGGUCUGCUGGACAGCAACUGACGCUGAGGCGCGAAAGCGUGGGGAGCAAACAGGAUUAGAUACCCCUGUAGUC
Molecule: ribosomal RNA, 443 nt
Filed under: uncultured bacterium
Lineage: Bacteria
Description: partial 16S ribosomal RNA
Rfam family: Bacterial small subunit ribosomal RNA
Source: RNAcentral